Molecule: ribosomal RNA, 491 nt
Filed under: uncultured bacterium
Lineage: Bacteria
Description: partial 16S ribosomal RNA
Rfam family: Bacterial small subunit ribosomal RNA
Source: RNAcentral
AGUGAACGCUGGCGGUAGGCCUAACACAUGCAAGUCGAACGGCAGCACAGUAAGAGCUUGCUCUUACGGGUGGCGAGUGGCGGACGGGUGAGGAAUACAUCGGAAUCUACUUUUUCGUGGGGGAUAACGUAGGGAAACUUACGCUAAUACCGCAUACGACCUACGGGUGAAAGCAGGGGAUCUUCGGACCUUGCGCGAUUGAAUGAGCCGAUGUCGGAUUAGCUAGUUGGCGGGGUAAAGGCCCACCAAGGCGACGAUCCGUAGCUGGUCUGAGAGGAUGAUGAGCAACACGGGAACUGAGAAACGGGCCGGAGCCGAACGGGAGCCACCAGUGGGGAGUGUUGGAAAAUGGGCGAAGGCUUGAUCAGGCAUUUCCGGGGGAGUGAAGAAGGCCUGCGGGUGGUAAAGCCCUUUUGUUGGGAAAAAAAAGCAGAAGGUUAAUACCCCGCUGUUCUGAGGGUACCAAAAGAAUAAGCACGGGCUAACUUCGU